RNAcentral lists this ribosomal RNA (497 nucleotides) under uncultured bacterium. RNAcentral's name for it is "partial 16S ribosomal RNA". It matches the Rfam family "Bacterial small subunit ribosomal RNA", at positions 28 to 507 of the family's 1533-position model. The record is from RNAcentral.
GACGAACGCUGGCGGCGUGCCUAAUACAUGCAAGUUGAGCGCUGAAGGUUGGUACUUGUACCAACUGGAUGAGCAGCGAACGGGUGAGUAACGCGUGGGGAAUCUGCCUUUGAGCGGGGGACAACAUUUGGAAACGAAUGCUAAUACCGCAUAAAAACUUUAAACACAAGUUUUAAGUUUGAAAGAUGCAAUUGCAUCACUCAAUCAUGACCCAGCGGUGUAUUAGUUGGUUGGUGGGGUAACGGCUCACUAAGGGGUUGACACACAGCCAACCUGAGCGGGUGAUCGGCCACAUUGGGACGGAGACAGGGCCCAAACGGCUUCGGGAGGCAGCAGUAGGGAAUCGUGGGCAAUGGACGAAAGUCUGACCGAGAAACGCCGCGUGAGUGAGGAGGGUUGUCGGAUCGUAAAACUCGGUUGGUAGGGAAGAACGUGGGUGAGAGUGGAAAGCUCAUCGAGUGACGGUAACGACCCAGAAAGGGACGGCUAACUACGUG